RNAcentral lists this ribosomal RNA (305 nucleotides) under uncultured bacterium. RNAcentral describes it as "bacterial SSU rRNA". It matches the Rfam family "Bacterial small subunit ribosomal RNA", at positions 333 to 637 of the family's 1533-position model. The record is from RNAcentral.
UGUUGCCUACGGGGCGCAGCAGUGAGGAAUAUUGGUCAAUGGGUGAGAGCCUGAACCAGCCAAGUCGCGUGAGGGAGUAUUGCCCUAUGGGUUGUAAACCUCUUUUGUCGGGGAGCAAAAGCCGGACGUGUCCGGCUGUGAGAGUACCCGGAGAAAAAGCAUCGGCUAACUCCGUGCCAGCAGCCGCGGUAAUACGGAGGAUGCGAGCGUUAUCCGGAUUUAUUGGGUUUAAAGGGGGCGCAGGCGGAUUUUUAAGUCAGCGGUCAAAUCGUGGGGCUCAACCCCAUCCAGACGUUGAAACCGGG